Molecule: ribosomal RNA, 755 nt
Filed under: uncultured Comamonadaceae bacterium
Lineage: Bacteria; Pseudomonadati; Pseudomonadota; Betaproteobacteria; Burkholderiales; Comamonadaceae
Description: bacterial SSU rRNA
Rfam family: Bacterial small subunit ribosomal RNA
Source: RNAcentral
AUUGAACGCUGGCGGCAUGCCUUACACAUGCAAGUCGAACGGCAGCACGGGAGCAAUCCUGGUGGCGAGUGGCGAACGGGUGAGUAAUACAUCGGAACGUGCCCAAUCGUGGGGGAUAACGCAGCGAAAGCUGUGCUAAUACCGCAUACGAUCUACGGAUGAAAGCAGGGGAUCGCAAGACCUUGCGCGAAUGGAGCGGCCGAUGGCAGAUUAGGUAGUUGGUGAGGUAAAGGCUCACCAAGCCGUCGAUCUGUAGCUGGUCUGAGAGGACGACCAGCCACACUGGGACUGAGACACGGCCCAGACUCCUACGGGAGGCAGCAGUGGGGAAUUUUGGACAAUGGGCGAAAGCCUGAUCCAGCCAUGCCGCGUGCAGGAUGAAGGCCUUCGGGUUGUAAACUGCUUUUGUACGGAACGAAACGGCCUUUUCUAAUAAAGAGGGCUAAUGACGGUGCCGUAGGAAUAAGCACCGGCUAACUACGUGCCAUCAGCCACGGUAAUACGUAGGGUGCAAGCGUGAAUCGGAAUUACUGCGCGUAAAGCGUGCGCAGGCGGUUAUGUAAUACAGUUGUGAAAUCCCCGGCCUCAACCUGGGAACUGCAUCUGUGACUGCAUAGCUCGAGUACUGUAGAGGGGGAUGGCAUUCCGCGUGUAGCAUUGAAAUGCGUAAUAUGCGGAGGGAACACCCAUGGCCAAGGCAAUCCCCCUGGACCUGUAUUGACGCUCAUGCGGGAAAGCGUGGGGAGCGAAACAGG